ACCUCCGUGGCGCAAUGGAUUAGCGCGUUGGACUUCUAAUUCAAAGGUUGUGGGUUCGAGUCCCACCGGAGGUA
Molecule: transfer RNA, 74 nt
Filed under: Actinia tenebrosa (Australian red waratah sea anemone)
Lineage: Eukaryota; Metazoa; Cnidaria; Anthozoa; Actiniaria; Actiniidae
Also listed under: 1 other name
Description: tRNA-Arg
Rfam family: tRNA
About the family: Transfer RNA (tRNA) molecules are approximately 80 nucleotides in length. Their secondary structure includes four short double-helical elements and three loops (D, anti-codon, and T loops).
Source: Rfam by way of RNAcentral